GACAGAGGGAGCCCGACUCCCGUGCAUCCGCAUGAGGAAAGUCCCCCCACCGGCCGGACGGGCGACCGGGCUCACGCCCGGAGUCGGAGACGGCUGGCGCUGGAACAGCAACGAGACCCCCCGCCCCGACCGAUGAGGUGCGUCAGGUCGCCAUCGGCGACCGGCGACGUCCGUAGCCUCGCUAUGGCCGUGCGAACCGACUCGUAAGAGGAGGGAGCUAACCCACCGAGGGCCCACGACGGGCGGGAACGGAUGGAACGGCGAAUCCUCGCCGGUGCAAGUCCGUGCCAUCAGGUAGUCCGGCCACGGCGCGGACGCUGAGCCGAAUGUCGGGACGAACCGAAGGGGGCUUACUCCCCUCAGUC
This 365-nucleotide RNase P RNA is filed under the name Halorubrum vacuolatum. RNAcentral describes it as "Archaeal RNase P". It matches the Rfam family "Archaeal RNase P". From Rfam's summary of the family: Ribonuclease P (RNase P) is a ubiquitous endoribonuclease, found in archaea, bacteria and eukarya as well as chloroplasts and mitochondria. Lineage: Archaea; Methanobacteriati; Methanobacteriota; Halobacteria; Halobacteriales; Haloferacaceae. The record is from Rfam by way of RNAcentral.